RNAcentral lists this ribosomal RNA (440 nucleotides) under uncultured bacterium. RNAcentral describes it as "partial 16S ribosomal RNA". It matches the Rfam family "Bacterial small subunit ribosomal RNA", at positions 338 to 795 of the family's 1533-position model. The record is from RNAcentral.
CCUACGGGGAGCAGCAGUGGGGAAUAUUGCACAAUGGGGGAAACCCUGAUGCAGCGACGCCGCGUGAGUGAAGAAGUAAUUCGUUAUGUAAAGCUCUAUCAGCAGGGAAGAAAAUGACGGUACCUGAGUAAGAAGCACCGGCUAACUACGUGCCAGCAGCCGCGGUAAUACGUAGGGGGCAAGCGUGAUCCGGAUUUACUGGGUGGAAAGGGAGCGUAGACGGCAGUGCAAGUCUGGAGUGAAAGGCGGGGGCUCAACCCCCGGACUGCUCUGGAAACUGUACGGCUGGAGUGCAGGAGAGGUAAGUGGAAUUCCUAGUGUAGCGGUGAAAUGCGUAGAUAUUAGGAGGAACACCAGUGGCGAAGGCGGCUUACUGGACUGUAACUGACGUUGAGGCUCGAAAGCGUGGGGAGCAAACAGGAUUAGAUACCCCUGUAGUC